GUGUGGGCAGAGCUGCUGUGCAGGCAGAGAGAAGGUGUAGAGAGGCCACCCAGAGCGGGCCUGGCCAUGUGGAGUGCCCUGUGCGUGGGCUUCUUGCCCAUUGUAGGUGGCCUUUCUUGGGUGAAGACAGAGGCCUCAGGCCCUACAGUAGGAAAGAUCUCAGAGUCUGUCUGGUUCACCUGUCACAUCUCUGGUGUAGCCAUCACUGAUAGCAACUACGCGUGGGACUGGAUCCGGCAGACUCCCGGCAAAGAGCUGCAGCACCUAGUGAUGCAGUAUCCUUUCACACGGCUCCAGCACAUCGCUUCAUCCUUCCAGACCCGAGUCAACAGCUCUGCAGACACCUCCAGGAACCAGCUGUGGCUGCAACUGCUCUCUCCAGUAGCUGCAGACACAGCCACCUAUUUCUGCAGCAUGAGAGAACUUGAAAAGGGCACUGUGCUUGAAACACAGGCAGGGCCAGGGCAGAAUUGGAAGGAGGGGCCUUAAUCUAGCCAUAUCUUUUGUGGUUGCUGCAAGGCAACGCUCUUCCCAGACUUCUCAAGACAAGUCUGGGCUGUUUUUUUGCAGAAACAGAUGCAGAGGUGCUACAGCAAUAACAACAGUAGUGUCCCACAAGCAAACCCCAAACCAUUAACAUGUUAACUCCUUCCUUCCUUCUCAGUAUCUCCCACAGGCAGAAAGAACCAGGGAAAGAGGAUGUUUUGGUUUGUUUGUUUGUUAAGAAUGUGAUUGGUUUGGUUUGAGUAGAGUAAAGUUUCUUCAUAGUAGCAGGAAUGGGAUUAUGUUUUGAAUUGGUGCUGGAAAGAGUGUGCAUAAUUCAGGGAUGUUUGAGUUAUUGCUGAGCAGUGCUUACAUGGAGUCAAGGCCUCUUCUGCUCCUCAUUCCACCCACCAGUGAGUAGCUGAGGGUACACAAAAUCUGGGAGGGAACUCAGCUGAUUCAGGUGACCCCAGCUGACCAAAGGGGUACUCUGGGCCAUAGGACAUCAUGCUUGGCAUGUAAAGAUGGGGAAGAAGAAGGAAGGUGGUGGAUAUGUAGCCACUAUGUGUGAUGGAGUUCUGCUUUUCUGGAUUAGGCUGGACUUUUGCCUAACAGUUGGAAGUUGUGAAUGAAUUCCUUGCUUUGCUUUGCUCACACAUGCAGCUUUUGCUUUAUUUAUAAAAGUGUUUAGUUAUUUAUUAAA
Molecule: non-coding RNA, 1186 nt
Organism: Taeniopygia guttata (zebra finch)
Lineage: Eukaryota; Metazoa; Chordata; Aves; Passeriformes; Estrildidae
Source: the annotation of a RefSeq genome assembly